RNAcentral lists this ribosomal RNA (490 nucleotides) under uncultured bacterium. RNAcentral describes it as "partial 16S ribosomal RNA". It matches the Rfam family "Bacterial small subunit ribosomal RNA", at positions 30 to 507 of the family's 1533-position model. The record is from RNAcentral.
AUCGAACGCUGGCGGCAGGCCUAACACAUGCAAGUCGAACGGUAACAGGAAGAAGCUUGCCUCUUUGCUGACGAGCGGCGGACGGGUGAGCAAUGUCUGGGAAAUUGCUUGAUGGAGGGGGAUAACUACUGGAAACGGUACUUAAUACCGCAUAACGUUGCAAGAUCAAAGAGGGGGCCUUUCGGGCCCCUUGUCAUCGGAUGUGCCCAGAUGGGAUUAGCUAGUAGGUGGGGUAACGGCUCACCUAGGCGACGACCCUUAGCCGGUCUGAGAGGCUGACCAGCCACACGGUAAGUGAGGCAGGUUCCAGACUCCGACGGGGAGAAACGGUGGAAAAUAUUGCAGGAGGGGGGAGAGCCUAAUGCAGCGAUGCCGGGGAUAUGAAGAAGGCCUUCGGGUGGGAGAAUGCUUUCGGCGGGAAGAAAGGGAGUAAAUUUAAUACCUUAGCUCAUUGACGGUACCCGCAGAAGAAGCACCGGCUAACUCCGUG